RNAcentral lists this ribosomal RNA (218 nucleotides) under uncultured bacterium. RNAcentral's name for it is "partial 16S ribosomal RNA". It matches the Rfam family "Bacterial small subunit ribosomal RNA", at positions 1282 to 1500 of the family's 1533-position model. The record is from RNAcentral.
AACGUCUCAGUUCGGAUUGUAGUCUGCAACUCGACUACAUGAAGCUGGAAUCGCUAGUAAUCGCGAAUCAGAAUGUCGCGGUGAAUACGUUCCCGGGUCUUGUACACACCGCCCGUCACACCAUGAGAGUUGGGAAUACCCGAAGCCUGUGAGCUAACUUUAAGAGGCAGCAGUCGAAGGUAGAAUCAAUGAUUGGGGUGAAGUCGUAACAAGGUAAC